CUUUAAUCGUACUCGACGAAUGCAUCCNAGAUUGNUUCAGAUUGAACGCUGGCGGCAGGCCUAACACAUUGCAAGUCGAGCGGCAGCACAAGUAAGUUUACUUAUGAGGUGGCGAGCGGCGGACGGGUGAGUAAUGCCUAGGGAUCUGCCCAGUCGAGGGGGAUAACAGUUGGAAACGACUGCUAAAUACCGCAAUAACGCCCUACGGAGGAGAAAGGACGGGGAUCCUUUCGAGAGACCUUACCAGUCGAAUANAGUGAUGAUAACCCUAAAAGNUGGAGAAUUANGCCUAUAANNUUAUGAGUUAGAAUGAUGUAAAAUUGGGCUUACACACAAAGGACAGAACAAUUACCACACAUAUAAAUUCUUUNUUUAUCCU
Molecule: ribosomal RNA, 379 nt
Filed under: uncultured bacterium
Lineage: Bacteria
Description: partial 16S ribosomal RNA
Rfam family: Bacterial small subunit ribosomal RNA
Source: RNAcentral